AACGAACGCUGGCGGCGUGCUUAACACAUGCAAGUCGAACGAGAAAGUGGACUUCGGUCCGCGAGUAAAGUGGCAGACGGGUGAGUAACACGUGGGCAAUCUGCCCGAAGGUGGGGGGAUAACUUCCCGAAAGGGUAGCUAAUACCGCAUAACACCUCGAGAUCCUCGGAUCUUGAGAUCAAAGCCUGCCUCUACAUGUAAGCAGGCGCCAUCGGAGGAGCCCGCGCCCCAUUAGCUUGUUGGUGAGGUAACGGCUCACCAAGGCUACGAUGGGUAGCCGGCCUGAGAGGGUGAACGGCCACACUGGAACUGAGACACGGUCCAG
RNAcentral lists this ribosomal RNA (325 nucleotides) under uncultured bacterium. Its description in RNAcentral is "bacterial SSU rRNA". It matches the Rfam family "Bacterial small subunit ribosomal RNA", at positions 29 to 334 of the family's 1533-position model. The record is from RNAcentral.